CUCUUAGAUGUUCUGGGCCGCACGCGCGCUACACUGACGAUGGCAACGAGUUUUUCCUUCGCCGAAAGGUGUGGGUAAUCUUUUGAAACAUCGUCGUGCUGGGGAUAGAUCAUUGCAAUUUUUGAUCUUGAACGAGGAAUUCCUAGUAAGCGCGAGUCAUCAGCUCGCGUUGAUUACGUCCCUGCCCUUUGUACACACCGCCCGUCGCUACUACCGAUUGAAUGGUUUAGUGAGGACUCCUGAUUGGCGCCGCCGCCCCGGCAACGGAGCAGCGGACUGCCGAAAAGUUGUUCAAACUUGAUCAUUUAGAGGAAGUAAAAGUCGUAACA
RNAcentral lists this ribosomal RNA (329 nucleotides) under uncultured eukaryote. Its description in RNAcentral is "partial 18S ribosomal RNA". It matches the Rfam family "Eukaryotic small subunit ribosomal RNA", at positions 1470 to 1796 of the family's 1831-position model. The record is from RNAcentral.